This 82-nucleotide transfer RNA is filed under the name Hymenobacteraceae bacterium. It matches the Rfam family "tRNA". Rfam says of the family: Transfer RNA (tRNA) molecules are approximately 80 nucleotides in length. Their secondary structure includes four short double-helical elements and three loops (D, anti-codon, and T loops). The record is from Rfam by way of RNAcentral. Lineage: Bacteria; Pseudomonadati; Bacteroidota; Cytophagia; Cytophagales; Hymenobacteraceae.
GCGGUUGUGGCGAAAUUGGUAGACGCGCUGUCUUCAGGCGGCAGUGCCGCAAGGCGUGAAAGUUCGAAUCUUUUCAACCGCA